UACGUAGGGGGCAAGCGUUGUCCGGAUUUAUUGGGCGUAAAGAGCGUGUAGGCGGCCAGACAGGUCCGUUGUGAAAACUCGAGGCUCAACCUCGAGAUGUCGAUGGAAACCGUCUGGCUAGAGUCCGGAAGAGGAGUGUGGAAUUCCUGGUGUAGCGGUGAAAUGCGCAGAUAUCAGGAAGAACACCCGUGGCGAAGGCGGCUCUCUGGGACGUGACUGACGCUGAGACGCGAAAGCGUGGGGAGCAAACAGG
RNAcentral lists this ribosomal RNA (253 nucleotides) under uncultured bacterium. Its description in RNAcentral is "partial 16S ribosomal RNA". It matches the Rfam family "Bacterial small subunit ribosomal RNA", at positions 524 to 776 of the family's 1533-position model. The record is from RNAcentral.